This 130-nucleotide ribosomal RNA is filed under the name uncultured cyanobacterium. RNAcentral's name for it is "partial 16S ribosomal RNA". It matches the Rfam family "Bacterial small subunit ribosomal RNA", at positions 610 to 738 of the family's 1533-position model. The record is from RNAcentral. Lineage: Bacteria; Bacillati; Cyanobacteriota.
UAACUCUAUCAUGGCAAUGGAACUGCAUAGACUAUGAGUAUGGUAGGAGUAGAGGGAAUUUSUAGUGUAGCGGUGAGAUGCGUAGAUAUUAGAGAGACACCGAGUGGCGAAAGCGCUCUACUGGACCAUU